CAGUCGCCACGGUAAUACGUAGGUGGCAAGCGUUGUCCGGAAUUAUUGGGCGUAAAGGGCUCGCAGGCGGUUUCUUAAGUCUGAUGUGAAAGCCCCCGGCUCAACCGGGGAGGGUCAUUGGAAACUGGGAAACUUGAGUGCAGAAGAGGAGAGUGGAAUUCCACGUGUAGCGGUGAAAUGCGUAGAGAUGUGGAGGAACACCAGUGGCGAAGGCGACUCUCUGGUCUGUAACUGACGCUGAGGAGCGAAAGCGUGGGGAGCGAACGGGAUUAGAUACCCCGGUAGUCCCUGUCUCUUAUAC
This 301-nucleotide ribosomal RNA is filed under the name uncultured bacterium. RNAcentral describes it as "partial 16S ribosomal RNA". It matches the Rfam family "Bacterial small subunit ribosomal RNA", at positions 509 to 807 of the family's 1533-position model. The record is from RNAcentral.